GUCUCAUCCUGGUGGAGGGAGGAACUCUGAGUCUGGGGGUUGCCAAGAUUUCAGAGACUUGGGACUCUGUAGUCGAGACUUAAGGAGUACAGCCAGCAAGGAUCUGGCAGAGUGAGAUGCUUGGGCCUCAGCUCUCUUCCCACAGUUCAUCUGCAAGGCUGAAUCCAUUGCUAGAGUCCAGGCCAUUCUGUGGACUCCUGUGGCUUUGAUGAAGAGAUGAAGUUUCCAAACUUUGCUGCCUCAGUCCAGCCCUCCUGGAGUGACUCA
This 267-nucleotide long non-coding RNA is filed under the name Manacus vitellinus (golden-collared manakin). Its description in RNAcentral is "lncRNA (ENSMVIG00005003810.1)". The record is from RNAcentral. Lineage: Eukaryota; Metazoa; Chordata; Aves; Passeriformes; Pipridae.